This is a long non-coding RNA of Dermochelys coriacea (leatherback sea turtle), 3163 nucleotides long. RefSeq lists it as uncharacterized. The transcript is spliced from 2 exons. Lineage: Eukaryota; Metazoa; Chordata; Testudines; Dermochelyidae. The record is from RefSeq and is a predicted model, not a curated record.
UACAUGAAGUGAGCUGUAGCUCACAAAAGCUUAUGCUCAAAUUUUAGUCUCUAAGGUGCCACAAGUACUCCUUUUCUUUUUGCAAAUACAGACUAACACAGCUGCUACUCUGAAACCUGUCAAAGAAUAAAAGUAGUUCCUCUUUUAAAGGGAUGGAGAAAAUUUAGAACACUCUGAAACCAUGCAAAUGUGUACAAUAUCUAGUCUCUCGUAUAGAGAGAUUAGAUAAAGUAUAAUUCUAAGAUGCAUUUAGAAGUGAGACUAUGGGUAGGUCCUUAUGGAUUCUGUGACUGAAAUUUGCUGUGGAAUUCAGCCCUUCCCACAGAAUUGUGCUACAGAAUCUCAAUUUACUUACUUUUUUUUUUUUUCUAGCCCUUAUGGUUUCAAACAUAACUUUGAGAAUGUGAACUGUGCAAACCAAUGUCUGAACCUGAAACAAUGGUCCUGAGAUGUGAACAUUCCAAAUCUAAUUUAGAACCUCAGACUCAUUGUGUGGCUGUAGAAUCUAGCAUUUUUCCAAGAUCCAGCAGAAUUCAGUACUUUUUCUGCUACUGGGCACCCAAUAUUUUGUUUUGUCUCCCUGCCCUGCUGGGAUAUGUCAACAGCUGCCAAGGAGCCAGAGCUUGAGUUCUGUUUGCAGCCAGGGAGUGAAAGGAGCCAAUGGUGCAGGCUGGCCAGCUAGGCUGCCUAGUUGAGACUACAGCAGCAGCUGAGGCCUGAGGAGGUAAAACAAACCUCCCAGAUUAAUAUUCCCCCAGAAUUUAGGAGUCUUAACUGCAGAAUUUUGUUCCAUUGUGCCACAGGUUACAUGCACCCUGCUUAUAGAGAUCAAGCACCUUUCUUAAAAGGACAGAGUUCAUACUUCUGAUUAAAAGUAUGCUAGGUACACAGUUUUCAAGUAAUACCCAUUUUUACUAUGAUUAAAAGAUACUGGUGAAAGUGUUUCAGUUUUUUUAGUAUGCAGUGAUUUUCAUACAGCACUUUUGUUUUUUUUUUUUCCUUGUAUAAUCAGUCAUUUUCUCCCCCAUGUGUAAAGAUCCUUUAUAAACAUCAACAGAGAUGCAGAAAAAUAUUAUAAAUUUUCUUUUAAAAAUAAAAUCAGGGCAUACUGUUUAAAGGACACCCCAUCAGACAGGAAUUUUACAAAUACUAUUCCAUUUAAAAAUGCAAGUUGAUAGUAUCCUUUAAAACGCUCUUUUUUUAAAAAUCCUUUUCUUCUUGGAAAUUGCAUUUUAUCUGUAUGUGGAAUGGAAAAGGGAAAUGGUAAUGGAGUAUGGAGGCUCUUAAUGCUUAGUCCGUAGUUCAGAACUUUUGCAGGUCUGUCGUGACAAAGUCUGAUCGUUGUUGCUUGACAUAAGUCAAAGGAGUGGAGGGUACUGAUCUGUGUUGCAUUAUAAAAGAACAGCAUUUGGUACCUGUGCUAAUGUUAAUCAUAGAGAUUUGCCAAGUGAAUUACCCAGUCACAUCUAGGCCUUGUCUAAAUUAGUGAAAUUUGACAUGCGAACCACAGUUGGAACCUGAAACAUACCAUAUAUCUGCAUGGGUGUGCUGUACUUACUCUGAAAAGACCAACAACAGUGACAUCUGUCACUAUGUUGAUCGGCACUGGCAGGCUCAGUGCCAGCAUAAACAGCAGGGACUAAUAUAAGCAUUUCACUGAUAUAAUUAGUCCUUCCACUACCAUCCAUGGUGUACUGGGCACUACUUAUGUAGCUCAGCUUAUCUAUCUUCUGGUCCAAGGGCAAGAUUUCUGAAAUCCUUCACUUGUACAUAUAGCUCUGCACACCCUCUAGAUCUCAGUGUGCGCUAUUUAUGAAUAGUAUUGACUUCUUUGUGACUGCUGUGUGUUAACAAGUGCACCUCGGAAUUUCUCAGAAGAAGACAACAUUGUAUAUGUGUGCUGCCAGCUGGCCUAAGGCAAUGAUUCAGGUGCUUAUAAAUAUCUACCUUAGGCAGGCUCUGUAAACUGUAACAUCCUGGUGUAUGUCUUUGUGUCUAAACAAUUGCACACCUAUGGAGGCUGAGAUAAUGGUGGACAACAUCCAGACACGUGAAAAUGGGCUGUUGAGGGACCAGCAGGAUGGGGAGGAGAAUUCCAUCUCCAUUGCCCUCUCUGAACUGGGGCCCAGCAAUACCUGAUCAUCUGAAGAGGUCUUGGGAUGACAGCAGAGACUUGCAGGCUGGAGAGGACAAUGACCCUGGAGGCAAGAAAACAUCUACAGAGACCACUUCUGCAACAAGGGUGUAGCUGAGAAAUGCUGGCAUGUUACACAGAAGGACUUGGGAGCACAAGUGACAGAGAGCUUGACAAAUCAAAGGACAAUGAGAUGAGCCAAGAGAAGAUCUAUUCCUCAGCCUUCAGAAGGUUGUGAAAAGAGACUGACAGAAUUUAAGUUCAAGGAUGACAGUUCUACCACUUUUGAAUAUCAUGGCAGACCUAGACCAGCAAAGAGAGAAUCCAUUAUGGACUCCAUAUAUCUUGAUACAGUAAUGGGGGACUGCAAAAGCUCUACUGUAAGGUGGUACAUGCAACAUCAAAGGCAUCUUGGUCAGUUAACCCAUUCAUGGGUCCCUGCACCUGUUCAGUAUUCUUGGCAUGGUGCUGUGAUAUAGGACAGUAGAAGCUCUUAUUGAGCUGCACAAUGUUCACCUGCUCUUUCCUGUAAGUCCUAAAACACUCCAUUCCUGCCUGUAAAGUGGACAUGAAUUUCAUGCCUCAGUAGGCCAGAAAACAGAAUAGAGUUGGUUACUGUAGAUGGCUUGCAUGUUAAAAUUCAUUUAGCAUUAUUUAUCUCAAAGUACAAGUGUACUUUUUCUUCCUUUUUGAAGACAAAACUAUUUCAGUAAUCCAUUACCUUCCUCAACCAAAACGAUACAUUCAGAAAAUUAUAAAAAGUACUCCCGUUUCACGAGGUCAAAGCUUAUGUGGGGAAAAUGUUUAGUAGCAUAAAAUGCAUAAUUAAGUGUUAGCUAUUUAGCUGCCUCAGUGAAGUCCAUACCCCCCAAACAUGUUCUGAGGAAUGGUUUAAUGUGUUAAAACCAUUGUCUUACAGUUGUAACAUUGUGGUUGUGUUUCUAACAAGAGUAGGCUUGUAUAACUUUAUGGGAACAACCACCAUAAAACCCUUUUAACCAUUUAUUAAAUACAUAAUGUGAAAACCUA